GAUGAACGCUGGCGGCGUGCCUAAUACAUGCAAGUCGAGCGAACAGAUGAGGAGCUUGCUCCUCUGACGUUAGCGGCGGACGGGUGAGUAACACGUGGAUAACCUACCUAUAAGACUGGGAUAACUUCGGGAAACCGGAGCUAAUACCGGAUAAUAUAUUGAACCGCAUGGUUCAAUAGUGAAAGACGGUUUUGCUAUCACUUAUAGAUGGAUCCGCGCCGCAUUAGCUAGUUGGUAAGGUAACGGUUUACCAAGGCAACGAUGCGUAGCCGACCUGAGAGGGUGAUCGGCCACACUGGAACUGAGACACGGUCCAGACUCCUACGGGAGGCAGCAGUAGGGAAUCUUCCGCAAUGGGCGAAAGCCUGACGGAGCAACGCCGCGUGAGUGAUGAAGGUCUUCGGAUCGUAAAACUCUGUUAUUAGGGAAGAACAAAUGUGUAAGUAACUAUGCACGUCUUGACGGUACCUAAUCAGAAAGCCACGGCUAACUACGUG
Molecule: ribosomal RNA, 497 nt
Filed under: uncultured bacterium
Lineage: Bacteria
Description: partial 16S ribosomal RNA
Rfam family: Bacterial small subunit ribosomal RNA
Source: RNAcentral